Molecule: ribosomal RNA, 253 nt
Filed under: uncultured bacterium
Lineage: Bacteria
Description: partial 16S ribosomal RNA
Rfam family: Bacterial small subunit ribosomal RNA
Source: RNAcentral
UACGUAGGGCGCAAGCGUUAUCCGGAAUUAUUGGGCGUAAAGAGCGUGUAGGCGGCCAGAUAAGUCCGCUGUGAAAUCUCGAGGCUCAACUUCGAGCUGUCGGUGGAAACUAUCUGGCUAGAGUCCGGAAGAGGAGAAUGGAAUUCCUGGUGUAGCGGUGAAAUGCGCAGAUAUCAGGAGGAACACCGGUGGCGAAGGCGGCAUCCUGGGCCGGUAUUGACACUGAAAAGCGAAAGCCAGGGGAGCAAACGGG